This is a long non-coding RNA of Sorghum bicolor (sorghum), 1112 nucleotides long. RefSeq lists it as uncharacterized. The record is from RefSeq and is a predicted model, not a curated record. NCBI's taxonomy places the organism in Eukaryota, Viridiplantae, Streptophyta, Magnoliopsida, Poales, Poaceae. The transcript is spliced from 2 exons.
UCCUGUCCAACAUUCUUUGCAAUGGAGAAGGGGUUCAUGUUCCUGAUUUGGGCGAGAAGUCCAUUCCAAUCACUCAAGACAGUAAUCCUGUUGAGGAAGUGCAGGCAAGCCGCAGUACCAAGGGAGGAAGGAGGUCCAAAAAUUUUCAUUACAAGGAGGAUGAAGUUGUUUGCUUAGGAUAGUUGAAUGUUAGCAAGGAUCCCAUCAACGGGGCUAAUCAAUCGUGUGGAACAUUUUGGGGAAGAGUUCAUGCUUACUACGAGCAACACAAUGAAACUGGACUUCCUCGUACAGAGAGUUCCAUUAUGCAUAGGUGGUUGACAAUACAAUGGUCCGUGAACAAGUUCUGUUCGUGCUAUGAGGCCAUUCUUCGUAGGAAUCAAAGUGGUACUACUAUCCAAGACAAGCUUAAUGAUGCAAAGAAGUAUUACGCGGACUUAGAUAAGGACAAAAAGCCUUUUGCUCUUGAUCAUUGCUGGAACAUACUUAAAGGGGAGGACAAGUGGAAAGCCAAGAUGGCAGAACUUGUAGAGCUUGAGAAACUAGCAGCAAGCAAAAAGAAACAAAAGACAACAAAGGUGUCCAGGCCAAGAGAUGAAGGAGCCGGCAAUGAUGUUGAAGUCAUAGCUUGUGAUGUUGGACAAACUGAGCCUACUAGGAAGAGGUCAGAUGGGAUAAAGAAGGUACAUAAUUAUUGUCAAGCAUUUUAUGUAUUUUACAUGUAUUUUUUCUUCAUGAUAAAAUAUUUAUUUUUGAACUUAUCUGUAGGUAAAAGAAAAUCUUAGGCGAGGAAGUGGUGAGGCUUGCAUGGAAGCUUUGGAGAAGAUGUGGUCAAAGAAAGAGGCCUACGACAAGGUCAAGGAGAAGGCCAAAGAGGACAGGUUCUUGGCGACACUAGAGAUAGAGAAGGCUACGCUAGAGCUAGAGAAGAAGCGGGUGGAAAAUGAAGCAAAGAAAUCUGAAGCCGACUUGAUGAAAGAAGAAAAAGAAAUUAUGUUAGCGGACAUGACCUCCCUCAACCCGAUGCAGCGUGAUUGGAUUGAGAUUAUGCAGAAGAAGAUUCUCGCGAGACAUGCAGAAAAUUAAGUUUAGUUGGUUGAAUUAUGAGUCAA